RNAcentral lists this unclassified non-coding RNA (326 nucleotides) under uncultured fungus. Its description in RNAcentral is "partial contains 5.8S ribosomal RNA and internal transcribed spacer 2". The stretch from base 1 to 133 matches the Rfam family "5.8S ribosomal RNA", at positions 22 to 154 of the family's 154-position model. Lineage: Eukaryota; Fungi. The record is from RNAcentral.
UGGUUCUGGCAUCGAUGAAGAACGCAGCGAAAUGCGAUAAGUAAUGUGAAUUGCAGAAUUCAGUGAAUCAUCGAAUCUUUGAACGCACAUUGCGCCCCUUGGCAUUCCGAGGGGCAUGCCUGUUCGAGCGUCAUUACAACCCUCAAGCUCUGCUUGGUAUUGGGCGCCGUCCUCUGCGGACGCGCCUCGAAGACCUCGGCGGCGGCUGUUCGGCCCUCAAGCGUAGUAGCAUACACCUCGCUUUGGAGCGGUCGGCGUCGCCCGCCGGACGAACCUUCUGAACUUUUCUCAAGGUUGACCUCGGAUCAGGUAGGGAUACCCGCUGA